CCUACGGGUGGCAGCAGUGAGGAAUAUUGGUCAAUGGACGCGAGUCUGAACCAGCCAAGCCGCGUGAAGGAUGACUGCUCUAUGGGUUGUAAACUUCUUUUAUAUGGGACUAAACUCUUCCACGUGUGGGAUUUUGUAUGUACCAUAUGAAUAAGGAUCGGCUAACUCCGUGCCAGCAGCCGCGGUAAUACGGAGGAUCCGAGCGUUCUCCGGAUUUAUUGGGUUUAAAGGGUGCGUAGGCGGUUGGUUAAGUCAGUGGUGAAAGUUUGCGGCUCAACCGUAAAAUUGCAGUUGAUACUGGCAGGCUAGAGUGCAGUAGAGGUAGGCGGAAUGCGUGGUGUAGCGGUGAAAUGCUUAGAGAUCACGAAGAACUCCGAUUGCGAAGGCAGCUCACUGGACUACAACUGACGCUGAGGCUCGAAAGUGUGGGGAGCAAACAGGAUUAGAUACCCGAGUAGUC
This 460-nucleotide ribosomal RNA is filed under the name uncultured bacterium. RNAcentral's name for it is "partial 16S ribosomal RNA". It matches the Rfam family "Bacterial small subunit ribosomal RNA", at positions 338 to 795 of the family's 1533-position model. The record is from RNAcentral.